Molecule: ribosomal RNA, 292 nt
Filed under: uncultured bacterium
Lineage: Bacteria
Description: partial 16S ribosomal RNA
Rfam family: Bacterial small subunit ribosomal RNA
Source: RNAcentral
GUGCCAGCAGCCGCGGUAAGACGAGGGGUCCAAGCGUUGUUCGGAAUCAUUGGGCGUAAAGCGGGUGUAGGUGGCUCUAUAAGUCAGAAGUGAAAGCCCCGGGCUUAACCCGGGAAGUGCUUUUGAUACUGCAGAGCUUGAAUGUGGGAGAGGGUAGUGGAAUUCCAGGUGUAGUGGUGAAAUACGUAGAUAUCUGGAGGAACACCGGUGGCGAAGGCGGCUACCUGGCCCAACAUUGACACUGAGACCCGAAAGCGUGGGGAUCAAACAGGAUUAGAAACCCGCGUAGUCC